CGAAAGUUACGCUAAUACCGCAUACGAUCACGGAUGAAGCAGGGGACCUUCGGGCCUUGUGCUAUACGAGCGGCCGAUGUCUGAUUAGCUAGUUGGUGGGGUAAAAGGCCCACCAAGGCAACGAUCAGUAGCGGGUCUGAGAGGAUGAUCCGCCACACUGGGACUGAGACACGGCCCAGACUCCUACGGGAGGCAGCAGUGGGGAAUUUUGGACAAUGGGGGCAACCCUGAUCCAGCCAUGCCGCGUGUCUGAAGAAGGCCUUCGGGUUGUAAAGGACUUUUGUCAGGGAGCAAAACCCAGCAGCUAAUAUCUGUUGGGGAUGAGAGUACCUGAAGAAUAAGCACCGGCUAACUACGUGCCAGCAGCCGCGGUAAUACGUAGGGUGCAAGCGUUAAUCGGAAUUACUGGGCGUAAAGCGUGCGCAGGCGGAUGUUUAAGCCAGAUGUGAAAGCCCCGAGCUUAACUUGGGAAUUGCGUUUGGAACUGAGCAUCUAGAGUCUGUCAGAGG
Molecule: ribosomal RNA, 509 nt
Filed under: uncultured bacterium
Lineage: Bacteria
Description: bacterial SSU rRNA
Rfam family: Bacterial small subunit ribosomal RNA
Source: RNAcentral